UUGGGCUUGGCUUCCCCAAAAAGGUGCUGUCUGUAGGUGCUGAUUUUUUAAUUUAUUUUUGUUAGCAUGCUAAUUCUUGAGAUUUGUGAGUUUUUAGAGAUGCAAGUAAAAUAAUUUAUGCCUAACAUGAUGACCUGACACAGAUAAAAUUACUUCAAACAUGAGUUGGGGUUUCUUUCUUUAAUUUUAGCCAAGAGGAAUCUGUGAUGUCUAAACUACAGUGUAUAAGAUGGGCUAACUUGUUUCUUUGAUAUGUCUAGGUUUAGGAGCUGAAAUUUUGGAUAGUCAUCUCCAAGGCUAAGUAAGAGUAAGAGUGGUAACUGUGCUGCUGAUUUAAAAAGUGAUGUAACAAUUGUGAUUUGAGGAGCAGUGACAGCAGCUCGCCCAUCCUAACUCUGGUGCUUUAUUAAAGGCUGAAGCAAACAUGCAAACCUAGACAAGCUCAGCAAAUAAAUAGCCAGCAAUGGUAUUUGUUUGAUCCAAAAUCCCUUUGGAAUUUUUUAAAUAAAAAAUGCUAACACAGCACCUUUAGAACUGUGGGGUUUGCUACAGCUGAUGUAGUUUGCAUGGGGGUGGAAUGAAAAGCCCAAAUCAGAGAAACAUCCAAAAGGCCACACUUUAAAUUUCUGUCCUUUCUUCUGUAGAGCUUGAAUUUGCAGAGUUCAAACUACUUGGAAGUAAACUCUUUGUUGCAGCUGUUCUGUGUUUGUUAUCCUGGCCUGUGACUGAGGCUCCUGUGUGCUUUCUUUCUGCUCUCUGCCCCUGUGUGGGGGAGGUCAGAGCAUGGUUCCACAGUCCAUCUCCUUGCUUAACCUUUCUCUUAGCUCUGCCACCAGGCUGGAUAGAUCAUUCACGGGGUCACAUCUUGCACAGCUUUCAUCUCUCCUGCUGUCCAAUACCACUGCCAGGUUCUGGUGUUCCCUGCAGUCUGAGAUUUUGGCAUCUGCAUAUUUUCCUGAGGGCUCCAUUGUGAGUUAUCUGAGCCUGGUUAAAUGAGGAUACUUCAGACUAGAACCACUUUAAACUUAUCCUGUAGUACAGAAACAUCCCUGACACUCCUGAACAAAUGAGGAAAAAAAAAAAAAAACAGACCUGCACUUUAUAAGCACUCUUGGAUGACACAUACAAAAGUGCACACAGGUAUUUUCACUAUAAAAAAGAGAGUUCAAACUGACCAAGAAAUAGAUAAAACCAGUAAUCUUCAGGAUGCUACCUGCAGUAAAGAUUAUGUAUUGUAGAUUACAAUCUAUGCUAAAAAGGGUAUCUUCUUUGCUAUGGCAAAAGAAUGGUUGAACCUUCCACAUUUCCAAGCUCACAUGCAGGCAUGAUAAAAUCUUAACAACAUGCCAUUAAAUAUGCCUUUACAACAACUAUUCUGCCUUGCCUGGAUAUAUCUGUGAAUCCACCCUUUGAACUGGAGAUUAAAUGAACUCCCUGGACAGCUGAGAAGAAUUAAAGUAUGACCUGAUAGUUUCUCUGCUUGACAAUAAUAUUGUCUGUCAGUUUGUGCUGUAUCCAAGAUACUGCUCUCUGCUCCAUGCUCAGAAAGCAGAUAUUGAUGGGUUUAGCUGAUUAACAUCUCUAUAUCAUUUGGCCUUUCAGUCUCAAAAUACAUUUUAUAAAAAUGUUACAGCAGAUGCUUUCUGGACUAUGCACAAUGGUGCUCAAUGCAAAUAUUUCCAUGUAUCCCCCAGCUAAAGCCUUGAAACUUUUUUCUCUCUCAAACAAACAGCAGUGCUGUCAAGUUUGGCCAUGGAAGCUCAACAUUUUGACUGGGACAGGGUUUGCACCUUAUUAGAAGAUAUGGGAAGGUUGUCUGACCAUUCCAAGCCUCUCUUACAGGACAGAACACCAGCUUCUAGCUGGUCUAAAUGCAGAUAUGCUGACAGCCCAGUAAUUUUGGGUAAAGCAUCUGGACAGGUGAUAACACAGGGAAGGAGCUCUCUGCUCCAUGCUUUGAAACAUAUUGAUGCUUCUUAAAAAUAACCAUGGUCUUACCUGUCACACAAGUGGAAUAGCCAAAUGUUAGUUUAGUGUUCAUCAAGUUGUGAGAAGGGAGAAGCUGUGGGUGUCCCUUUGGAAAAGGAUAGAGCAAAGCUGGACAUGGGGUUGCUCAUGGGGCACAGCCUGCUCCCUGCCCUGAGAUGCCUAUAAGAAAAUGUUUGCUCACACAUUGUUUAUUUAAUAAAACCUUCAGACCUUUCAUUUAUUUAAACCUUACACCAAAAUCACCCGGAAUUCCUUUAAAAACCAGUAUUUUGCCAGUAAGUGAAAGGAGCAGGUAACUGUGAUGUGUCCCACAGGAACCACCACUCACCUCCAAGGCUGGUGAGGAGAGAGGGGGGAAUGCAGAUUUGGAGAAACCAAGCAGCUUCUGAGGAGAGAUCACAGAUGGAUUUAACAUCCAUUACCUUUCUUAUUGUAAACAGAUGGCCCAAUCCCAAAAGUAAGGGAGUGCAUCCGUUUUCAGAAUUAGGAUCUGUGUGCCAAAAGUAAAAUUCACACUUCCCAUGAACAGAAAAAUAGUGAUAGCAUCCUCAGAGAUUUCCCCUCCUCAACCAGUCUAUGGAAAAGGGAUGGAAAUUUCAGGAAAGAGGAAAUAGGUAGCAGCUGAAAUCCCUCCAGCCCCUGGAUCUAGCAGAGCUGAAAAGCUGAGCAUCACCCACUGCUAAUGACUCAGACUGGCUCUGCAGGAGCUGAGGAUGAAAGGCACAGCCAUGAAAUGCCCAGGUCCUGCACUAACCACAGGACAGCUGGGGAGUGAUUUGGGCACUGCUGAGGCUCCUCCCAACAUCAGCACUUGGCCCCACACCUCGGGAGAGACCCAGGGCAGAGGGUGAGGGAGGAGGCAGCCGUGGUGUUCUGGCUCCUGCCUGAUUUCAGUUUAUGGCCAAGGUGUACUGUUCCACCUUCCUGGAGCCUGCAGAUGGAACCUGAGUGGAAAGCAGUGAAAAGAGGAUAAAGUAGCCACAAAGAGUGUGGUGGCAUAACACAGAUGAUGAAAUAUAACCAUGGUUGCAUAAGAAUGAUAUAUGUUCUAGUGAUUCAUUAUAACAAUGAAUUAAGGCUGGAGUGAAAAUACAUAAAUUCUCCUCUUUUUAAUUUCUUUUUUUUUUUUUUCCAUUAACUUCUGCUGGCUUGGGAGCCAUUCCUGUACACACUUCCAAAUGCCAUAAAGUCAUUUAUGCACCACUGGGAAUUAUUUUAGAUAUUCAGGCCCAUGUUACUACAAACUGCAAGUUGAUGACCAAACAAUAGCUUUGGAAUCCAAUUUAAAUUGGCCAUUUUAGCACAAAGCUACACACUUUUGUUAUUGCAAGUGGAUAGAGGAGUUAUUCUCCAUUGUAAAACAAAUUAUGUUUUGUUUAUCUAGCAUUUAAAUCUCCAGUGUUAAAGGAAUAAAAAAAAAAAUCACAAAAACCUGAGGUAACAAACUAAGCAACAACAUAGAUCGGUGUUUUCCUCCAGCAUGAUGAUUUUAAAGCACCUUUUUUCCUCCAUUUUCAGACACAUUCUAACCUUUCAUUGCAAACUGCUCAUAUUUGAAUUUAUCUUUCUUAGCUAUAGCUGAUCAAAACUGGAGAGAGUAUUGCAGAUGAGGUCUAAGUAGUACCCUGUAAAAUGGCAUGAACUCUCCCUCAUCCUUACUUAAAGUAACCUGUCAGAGGCAUUUUUGGAUUGGCAUUGCCUUUUCACAGCACUGGUGGCUCUCAAUUGUCCAUGGCCAACACCCCCAGAUCCUUCUGAGCAUCAGUCAGCCCUCGCUAAUGAGCUCCCACUGUAGAGCAAGAAUUGAUGACAGCCCCCAGUCCCAUUUACCCUCUGUACUGCGGUGUGGGCAGACAGUGCUAAAGGCAGCCUGGCCUCUUACCCAGUGCAGCUGUGGUAAUUACCACAGAGUGGGAACAGCCUUGCCCUCCCAGCUGGGGAGGAGAUAAAGGAGUGAGUGAGCUGCGAGGGAGCGAGUUGGGGUUUGCUGGCCGUGCUGGGAGGAGGCAGGGACAGGAGAGAGGCUGAGGUGACAUAUGAAGGAUGGUCAGGGUUAGGUGGCCGUGCUGGGGACAGGAAGGAGCCAGCUGGAACUGCAGAAGGAAGAGAGAAGAAGGAGAGAAAGAACCAGAGCUGUGUGGAGCUGCCCACGGGAGGCUGCAUAGAAAAGCUCAUCUUGCCACUGGCUGGAAAUCCCCACGUGCAGAAGAAAUUUCUUCAUCCCCCAGCUUUGUCCCUGGUCAUGUAAUACACACACUUUAAUCUGGAGGAAGCCCAAGAGAGAGGAGCUCGAAAGCAAAUAUCCCUGCCCUGCUGGCUUUUGCUGUUUUCUGCUGUUUGCACUACUGAGGCAAGUGCAAAGUCUAGCAGUGCUGGUUUGUUGGAUCAGGAGACUGAUAACAGCAGGGCAGACACCCCUCUUGUCUCCCCCAGGCUUUCACAAGUGUCAGCCCCAAAACAAUUUGCAGAAGUUGACAGCUCCAACUUGCUGAUUAAGCUGAAACUCAAGUGUUUCUAACUUUUGUUUAGUGUCUAAUUUGUGCCAGAUAUUGCCUGUUUUGCAGAGCCAGAUGCCAGCUGGAAAUGGGAUGUCCCAAACUCCACAAGUCAAUGUUUUCCUUGUGCUGUUUCAUGCAGAAAAAAGCACUGCACAGGAGAACCUCCUUUGAGGUGCAGACAGUGCUCCAGGUGUCUUCAGAGCACAGGUUGAGGUGAUUGGGUAUUACUGCUGUAAAUCAGACCUUCCAAGCAGCUGCCAUUUCUUUAUAGCUCUCCCCUGAACUCUUGACUCUUUU
Prinia subflava (tawny-flanked prinia) is the source of this 4784-nucleotide long non-coding RNA. RefSeq lists it as uncharacterized. The transcript has 3 exons. The record is from RefSeq and is a predicted model, not a curated record. NCBI's taxonomy places the organism in Eukaryota, Metazoa, Chordata, Aves, Passeriformes, Cisticolidae.